GGCAUUGCCAAGGUUGCACAUGCAAUUACGAACGCGGACCAACGCGUUUUCACCUCAGUUUGUUGCGUAGACCGUGUGUGUUGCGUUGCACAUGCACUUACGAACGCGGGCCAACGCGUUUUCGCCUCAGUUCGUUGCGUAGACCGUGUGUGUUGCGAUAUGCCGUAGCGACUGACAGGAGGUAUUUGACAGUCGUUUGCAAAUGUGGACGAUUUUUUAAAAUCUUUCGUGUGGCUGGUACCCGUUCAGAACUUGCUGCCAGGGUGACUUAAUGUUAACUCAAUAAUUGUUUUACAACACUACGUGCUAAGUUUUCAGAAAACUCCCAGUAAAGAAGUCCAUAAAUAUUUGCAAAAAUGCUUCGUAGGUGUUGUCUAUGAAAUUUUUGUGAUUGUGAAGUGUUUUCCUGAUGAGAUGUCGUAUAAUUAGUGUUGCGUUGCUACAAUUAACAGCCGUCUGUUUUAACUUCGAUGAUGGGUUGGAUACAAUACUGCUCUCAGGUUCCAGGGAAUAAUUGCUGUAAACAGAUCAUAUUUAAGGUGCUUCAUACAUGAAGGAAUCCUGAAAUGACAGUAUGCAGCAUGAUGUUAAAAUGCUUUUGGAAUUUCGUCUCAAAGGUGAUCCCUCCGUGGCUGUACUCAUCAGACUUCUUCCUUUGUUCAUUUGGUGGUUCUGUUCACAUGUCUAGUUCAUAUACUUGCAAAAGUAACACUCUGUGUCUCACAAUGAAAAGUGACAGAUUUCUGAAUGUCAUUAUCUUUUUGUUCAUUAUAACAUGCAUAAAUGAGGCAAACCAUGUUUCUAGUCGAUGUAUCAAUGUUACUAUUUGUUUUCAUAACUUGAAAUACAU
Molecule: long non-coding RNA, 850 nt
Organism: Schistocerca cancellata (South American locust)
Lineage: Eukaryota; Metazoa; Arthropoda; Insecta; Orthoptera; Acrididae
Exons: 3
Source: RefSeq, a predicted model, not a curated record